This is a long non-coding RNA of Triticum aestivum (bread wheat), 2907 nucleotides long. RefSeq lists it as uncharacterized. The record is from RefSeq and is a predicted model, not a curated record. NCBI's taxonomy places the organism in Eukaryota, Viridiplantae, Streptophyta, Magnoliopsida, Poales, Poaceae. The transcript has 16 exons.
CUGUCUUCCUCCUCCCGACUCCCCCAACCCCAACCACAGCCGCCGCCGACCACCUCUCUCUCCCUAACCCCACCGGCGACUGCCUUUCCCCUGCUCCGCCGGAGACCUCCAGGCCUCCGCCCUCUACCCCAUCGCCGGCGCCCCCCACCCUCUCCUUCUCUUCAUUGGGAGGCCCCAGCACGCACCGCCACCGCGCCCUCAUCCUUCCGCGUCCAACCUCCGGCGCGGCCCGAAACUCUCUCUCCCUCCCUCCUUCCGCGUCCAACCUCCGUACUGGUUCCGCUGCAGGGCCGAGGCCUCACUGGGGGCUUCUUCUUCCUGACGUCGUCGCCGGAGCCAUGGCGGUGCCCCGUGCUUUGGGGCCGGGCUUACCUCCAUAAGGCAAAUCUUGUUGCGGCCUUCUCCUCCAACCUCGUUGGCGCAUCACCUCUGCCUUCUCCUCGUUCUACUGUUCCCAGAGGGAUGGAUCCACUUGUCCGCGACAUGUCUGACAAUAUGCCAUGGAGGCGGGCUGGCGGCCAGCUGGCUCGGUAUCCUCUGGUGAAGACCGCGACCACUAAUGCAACCAAAGAGAUAAGGAAUCGGCCCUUCAAUUAAUCUCUAGCUUGUUGUGGACACAGCGGUUCAAUUCAAAUUGGGGAAUAUGCUUGGAUGAAGCAGUUAUAGAACCACAGUUCAGCAGCAGGAUUCGGUCGGUACAGAAGAAAGAGGACAAGUGGUUCAUCGAGGUGCGCGGUGCUAGGGUGUUCCGUUGGGCGGACCCGUUGCCUUUUCGGCAUCCGCUACAUAACAACCAUGGUACCUUCCAUAAGGAGAAAAGAAAGUGUGACAAUAAAAAGGAGUGCAACAAAAAAUCUGUUGAACCCCGAUGAAGACCUGGGACGCAGGGCAAGGUGGAAAAGGUGGCCGUGGGAAUUAUUCUUCACGCCAACUAAGCAACUCCAGUGGUGUGGAAGAUAUCCAUUGGUGGUCAAAACGGAUGUGCCGGUGGAUGGUCGGUUUGAGCAUGUCGUUCUUUCCUGCAAUGCCACAAUGGACCACGCCAUUUUUUGGAUCACGCCCUCCCUGCUCCAGCGUCGAGGACAGGAAGCAGCAACAGGAUUACAUCGGUACAGCAGAGUACAAGCGGUUCAUCAAGGUGCGCGGUGAUAGGCUCUUCUUCCUCUGAGCCAUAAUAGCCAUGAACUACAACAUCAAUGGGUGAACCCCAGCAGCCUUGGCAAGCGAACAAGGCUUAGGACGCCUGGUCUCUCCAUUGACCACUUCUGUGGUGAAAUCUCCAGCUUGAGGCUUAAUGGCAACACCCUGUCUGGCGCAUUCCCUUCAUCAUUGGCUAAUUUGUCACGCCAGCCAGCAGCGAAAGGAGCAGCCUUGUUGCUGGGCAUACCACGGCGCGGAGACGACGCCGUUUGGCACAAGUUUGGUCGGCGAAGCAGUUCUGCCUGCUCUGGCGCUCACUCCGACGCCUCCCACCCUGCUGCUCUGGGGUCUGCUUCUUCACCUCCGGCACAAAAAAUUGACGAGCUGAGAGGUCAUGCAAGGCAUAGCAUAAGUGUAUGUGUUUUCAGUGUAUACUAACCCGACACCUACGGGAUGAAGGUGGCUGCAUCGUAACCUUCAUGGCCGGCUAUGGGGGUUCUGGAUGUUCCUCUUGCCUUGUGCGAUUUCUCAGGGAGCAGUGCUUGGAAUGGGCUGAUCCGGGCGUUGAUGCUUAUUCUGCUGACUCUUUGACGGCCAGCCCAUACGCAGUUCGAGGCACACCAUAGAGCUUGAAGAGUCUCUUGAGGUCCUUUGGCUGGAAGGACAUGGUUUCAGCCACGACAAGGUGCCAUGGCGGUAGCUCCUUCUCACCUUGGCUCAUAGAUCCAACAGAAGCACCCUCCAGGCUCUCCUGUGGCUCUUAUGCUUGCUGGCUGGAUUGGCAGGAGCUACAGCACCUCCGGUGGCAUGGCCAUGGGGAUGGAGAGUAUAACAGGAUGGGCAAGCAAGGACAUGUCUGCAUUCAUCAACUUGGGUUCUUCUUCUUUGAUCCGAUGGCGUGCCCCAGGCAUCCAUUCUGUUUGUCAGGUGGCUUAUCCAAUGAUGGUGCAUCACAAUCUCUUGCUCCCAUGGCGAAAUAUUCGCAGGCUACUUGUCAUUUUCCACCUUCAGAUUCAAAAGGACUGGCAGAUCUUAAGGAUACCCCAGAAGAGGUUGUCUUGGAUUUAGGUUCACAUGUAAACCACUCAUCAUAUCAGGCGCUAGGAGUGGGUAGUUCUGUUUCAGACCCACUGCUUGCACCGCCCCUUCAAGCCCACAGUCAUGGUGGUGAGAUUGUGGCCAGCAAUCAUGCUGUCAGAAGCGGUGAGCAGGUGAAUAUAUGGUGGUUUCUGAUGAUGCAUCAACACUUCCGAAAGACACGCCUCAAUCUUCUGGUUCAUCCUCUACUGUGCUACCAUUUGGUAGCAGGCCAUCUUCUAGCUACAGUAGUCGCUCACAGUGGCCAAGUGGCUCGCAGAAAAGGGCCUGGACCGCAGCCACAGGAGGGCGAGAAGACGAACGGGUGGUGUAAAACUGAGUUUGUCCUGGUGUAUUGGUUGCUGCUGAAUGUGAUGUCUGGUGGUGUGGAUCAUCAGCUCUGGGGGCAAGGGCAUGACUGAUGCAUUAGCUGUGGUGUAACUGAAGAAGGACAAACAGACGUCUUCGUGAUGAAGCCUGAGGUCAUGACGAUGGGUGGGAACUGUUCGUUGUCGUCAAGAUUUGUUAGUUUGUCUUGUUGUUUUCAGAAUUGUAGUUGUGUGAUGCAUAGGAGUAGGUAGUAGCCCUUAGAAAUCAACCAUCCUGGUAUUGAUGGUAUAGGAGGAGACAAAGCACACAAGUUGUAUUUCUACUCUCAUACGUGGUAUAUCAGUUAUAAUGCCAUUCAAA